GGGGCCGAGCCAUCAAGUCCCUUGAAGACUCAACAGUUGUCUCUGCUAAAGAAGAACCGUUGGAAAGACCUCUCAACUCUCCAGAAGCUAAUUUCAUGCGUUUUGAGGCUGGUUCAUCAUCCUCCACACCUCCCAUGAAAUGUGCACCUCAGUCCAUAUAGUAUAGCAAUGAUAGAUAAACAAUAAAGGAAUAUAUGUUUGGAAAUCCUCCAAUGGAUCACAAGAAAUAUCUUCCAGAUUUUGAUAGAAAUUUUGAGGAAGCCUUGAUUUGUGAGAGAAAAAAGAGAGCGUUUCAGGGAGAUGGAAGAAACCGUAUAUUGAAGAAAAUGAAAGAGGCGCAGAGAGUUUCCCAAAAG
This 356-nucleotide unclassified non-coding RNA is filed under the name Hevea brasiliensis (rubber tree). Lineage: Eukaryota; Viridiplantae; Streptophyta; Magnoliopsida; Malpighiales; Euphorbiaceae. The record is from RNAcentral.